This 131-nucleotide small nuclear RNA is filed under the name Canis lupus dingo (dingo). RNAcentral describes it as "U4 spliceosomal RNA (ENSCAFG00020025953.1)". The stretch from base 1 to 79 matches the Rfam family "U4 spliceosomal RNA". From Rfam's summary of the family: U4 small nuclear RNA (U4 snRNA) is a component of the major U2-dependent spliceosome. The structure of U4 snRNA from yeast and human has been reported. U4 snRNA presents a k-turn RNA motif in the 5p-SL related to recognition of Snu13 protein. The record is from RNAcentral. Lineage: Eukaryota; Metazoa; Chordata; Mammalia; Carnivora; Canidae.
AGCUUUGCACAGUGGCAGUAUCGUAGCCAAUGAGGUUUAUCCAAGGUGCAAUUAUUGCUAAUUGUACCCUUUACGCUUAGGAAAGUAAGAAUAGUACCUGACCCACAGGAGACAUUUAAUAAUCAAUAUUA